Molecule: ribosomal RNA, 891 nt
Filed under: uncultured crenarchaeote VAL114
Lineage: Archaea; Thermoproteati; Thermoproteota
Description: bacterial SSU rRNA
Rfam family: Archaeal small subunit ribosomal RNA
Source: RNAcentral
UUCCGGUUGAUCCUGCCGGACCCCACUGCUAUCGGGAUAGGACUAAGACAUGCUAGUCGCGUGCUUCAGCCAAUACGAGGCACGGCACACAGCUCAGUAACACGUGGCUAACCUGCCCUCGGGAUAGGAAUACCCCCGGGAAACUGGGGCUAAUUCCUAAUAGGCGAAGAACUCUGGAAUGAGUCUUCACUUAAAGGGCGCUAGAGUUAUGCUCUUUGGCGUUGCCCGAGGAUGGGGCCGCGACCGAUCAGGUUGUUGGUGAGGUAAUGGCUCACCAAGCCUUUUACCGGUGCGGGCCGUGGGAGCGGGAGCCCGGAGAUGGGCACUGAGACAAGGGCCCAGGCCCUACGGGGCGCAGCAGUCGCGAAAACUUUGCAAUAAGCGAAAGCUUGACAGGGCUAUCCCGAGUGCCAUCCGCUGAGGAAGGCUUUUACCCAGUCUAGAACGCUGGGGGAAUAAGGAGAGGGCAAGUCUGGUGUCAGCCGCCGCGGUAAUACCAGCUCUCCGAGUGGUGUGGAUGUUUAUUGGGCCUAAAGCAUCCGUAGCUGGCUAGGUUAGUCCCUUGUUAAAUCCACCGAAUUAAUCGUUGGGUUGCGGGGGAUACUGCUUGGCUAGGGGACGAGAGAGGCAGACGGUAUUUCCGGGGUAGGGGUGAAAUCCUAUAAUCCCGGGAAGACCACCAGUGGCGAAGGCUGUCUGCUAGAACGCGCCCGACGGUGAGGGAUGAAAGCUGGGGGAGCGAACCGGAUUAGAUACCCGGGUAGUCCCAGCUGUAAACGAUGCAAACUAGGUGUUUGGACGGCCACGUGCCGUUCUAGUGCCGCAGGAAGCUGUUAAGUUUGCCGCCUGGGGAGUACGAUCGCAAGAUUGAAACUUAAAGGAAUUGGCGGG